ACAUACGGCCGCCGGCGGACGGAUAUUGUUGAUGUCAAUAAAAGAGAUUUAUCUGCCUUAUUU
This 63-nucleotide transfer RNA is filed under the name Cornu aspersum (brown garden snail). RNAcentral's name for it is "Helix aspersa (brown garden snail) tRNA-Ile". The record is from RNAcentral. Lineage: Eukaryota; Metazoa; Mollusca; Gastropoda; Stylommatophora; Helicidae.